AGCGAACGCUGGCGGCAGGCCUAACACAUGCAAGUCGAACGAACCUUUCGGGGUUAGUGGCGGACGGGUGAGUAACACGUGGGAACGUGCCUUUAGGUUCGGAAUAACUCAGGGAAACUUGUGCUAAUACCGAAUGUGCCCUUCGGGGGAAAGAUUUAUCGCCUUUAGAGCGGCCCGCGUCUGAUUAGCUAGUUGGUUGAGGUAAUGGCUCACCAAGGCGACGAUCAGUAGCUGGUCUGAGAGGAUGAUCAGCCACAUUGGGACUGAGACACGGCCCAAACUCCUACGGGAGGCAGCAGUGGGGAAUAUUGCACAAUGGGCGAAAGCCUGAUGCAGCGACGCCGCGUGAGGGAUGACGGCCUUCGGGUUGUAAACCUCUUUCAGCAGAGAAGAAGCGAAAGUGACGGUACCUGCAGAAGAAGCACCGGCUAACUACGUG
RNAcentral lists this ribosomal RNA (439 nucleotides) under uncultured bacterium. RNAcentral describes it as "partial 16S ribosomal RNA". It matches the Rfam family "Bacterial small subunit ribosomal RNA", at positions 29 to 507 of the family's 1533-position model. The record is from RNAcentral.